UCCGGUACAUUUAAUUGACUUUGUUGUCACCAGUAUCAGUUACAUCAAAUUUUCAAUCAUUAAAACCGAUGUUCUGAUACAAAAGACCAUCAGCCGGAGAUUCACUGAUUGCACAAUACUGAUGAUUGCUCAUAGAAUCUACACGAUAAUGGACAGUGACCGCAUCUCGGUCAUGGCGGAAGUCCGGAUUGUGGAGUUUGGCCACUCCGAUUCACUGCUGAAAAAUCAUCAGGAAGGUACCGUUUUACGAAGUGAUCAAACAAACCGGCAAUUCGAUGUCGA
Diprion similis is the source of this 282-nucleotide long non-coding RNA. RefSeq lists it as uncharacterized. Lineage: Eukaryota; Metazoa; Arthropoda; Insecta; Hymenoptera; Diprionidae. The record is from RefSeq and is a predicted model, not a curated record. The transcript is spliced from 2 exons.